CUUGAACGCUGGCGGCAGGCUUAACACAUGUAAGUCGAGCGAGCGGCGGACGGGUGCGUAAUGUAUGGGGACUGCCCGAAAGAGGGGGAUAACUACUGGAAACGGUGGCUAAUACCGCAUACUAUCGGAUAACCCAUAGGGGAUUAGAUAGUCGGGGGGGUAACGGCUUACCUAGGCGACGAUCUCUAGCUGGUCUGAGAGGAUGAUCAGCCACACUGGGACUGUGACCCGUCCCAGAUUCCGACGGAGGCAGCAGUUGGGAUUAUUGCACAAUGGGCGCAAGCCUGAUGCAGCCAUGCCGCGUGUAUGAAGAAGGCCUUAGGGUUGUAAAGUACUUUCAGCGGGGAGGCGUUACCCGCAGAAGAAGCACCGGCUAACUCCGUGCCAGCAGCCGCGGUAAUAC
Molecule: ribosomal RNA, 403 nt
Filed under: uncultured bacterium
Lineage: Bacteria
Description: partial 16S ribosomal RNA
Rfam family: Bacterial small subunit ribosomal RNA
Source: RNAcentral